CUGCCUACGGGGGGCAGCAGUGGGGAAUAUUGCACAAUGGGGGAAACCCUGAUGCAGCGACGCCGCGUGAGUGAAGAAGUAUCUCGGUACGUAAAGCUCUAUCAGCAGGGAAGAAAAAAAGUCUUUGGCUUUGGACGGUACCUGACUAAGAAGCCCCGGCUAACUACGUGCCAGCAGCCGCGGUAAUACGUAGGGGGCUAGCGUUAUCCGGAAUUACGGGGCGUAAAGGGUGCGUAGGUGGUUUCUUAAGUCAGAGGUGAAAGGCUACGGCUCAACCGUCGAAAGCCUUUGAAACUGGGGAACUU
RNAcentral lists this ribosomal RNA (305 nucleotides) under uncultured bacterium. RNAcentral's name for it is "partial 16S ribosomal RNA". It matches the Rfam family "Bacterial small subunit ribosomal RNA", at positions 335 to 643 of the family's 1533-position model. The record is from RNAcentral.